GGGCAGGGAAUGAAACCUGAUCUUCAGAGUGAUAUAAGCAUGUUUAAUCCUGCAGCUCACUCGAUGCCUAUCAAGCAAGCUGUUAGCAUGAAUAAUGAUGUUUUUUACGGUGACAAAAAGCCCAUAGGAGCUCUUGUACAAUCUAGGAAUGAUGUUCCUGCCUCGUUUGGAGGCAUUAUUGACCCAAUGACUACAGGUGCAUUUUC
Molecule: unclassified non-coding RNA, 206 nt
Filed under: Hevea brasiliensis (rubber tree)
Lineage: Eukaryota; Viridiplantae; Streptophyta; Magnoliopsida; Malpighiales; Euphorbiaceae
Source: RNAcentral